Molecule: ribosomal RNA, 2464 nt
Filed under: human gut metagenome
Description: bacterial LSU rRNA
Rfam family: Bacterial large subunit ribosomal RNA
Source: RNAcentral
AGAGCGUAUGGCGGAUGCCUAGGCACAGAGAGGCGAAGAAGGACGCAGCAAACAGCGAAAUGCGACGGUUAGCAGUAAGCAUGCAACGAUCCGUCGAUGUCCGAAUGGGGGAACCCACCUGGAGUAGAGACCAGGUAUCCUGAAGUGAAUAAAUAGCUUCAGAGAGGCGAGACUCAGGGAACUGAAACAUCUAAGUACCUGAAGGAAGAGAAAAUAAACGAAUGAUUCCCUAAGUAGCGGCGAGCGAAAGGGGAGGAGCCCAAACCAACCUUAGGGUUGGGGUUGUAGGACCAUGAUAUGGCAAGAAUUUGGCUAAUAGAACGAUAUUGAAAGAUCGACCGCAGAGGGUGCAAGUCCCGUAUAUGAAAGCGAGAGGAAGCCUAAUGGUAUCCUGAGUACGGCGAGACACGAGAAAUCUUGUCGGAAGCAGGCGGGACCAUCCGUCAAGGCUAAAUAUAAACAAGUGACCGAUAGUGAACCAGUACCGUGAGGGAAAGGUGAAAAGAACCGCGGGAGCGGAGUGAAAUAGAACCUGAAACCGUAUGCUUACAAGAAGUCAGAGCUCGUUAAAGAGUGAUGGCGUGCCUUUUGUAGAAUGAACCGGCGAGUUAUGUUAUCGUGCGAGGUUAAGCAGGAGAUGCGGAGCCGAAGCGAAAGCGAGUCUUAAUAGGGCGAGAGUACGAUGACAUAGACCCGAAACCGUGUGAUCUAGCCAUGACCAGGUUGAAGUUCAGGUGAAACUGAAUGGAGGACCGAACCGACCCCCGUUGAAAAGUUGGCGGAUGAGUUGUGGCUAGGGGAGAAAUUCCAAUCGAACCCGGAUAUAGCUGGUUCUCCCCGAAAUAGCUUUAGGGCUAGCGUCGAGGCUUAGUCAUGUGGAGGUAGAGCACUGAAUGUACGAUGGCCCCAUCCCGGGGUACUGAGUAUAAUCAAACUCCGAAUGCCAUAAGAUAUGCCCGGCAGUCAGACCGUGGGUGAUAAGGUCCAUGGUCAAAAGGGAAACAGCCCAGACCGCCAGUUAAGGUCCCAAAAUGUAUGCUAAGUGGAAAAGGAUGUGGGGAUGCACAGACAACUAGGAGGUUGGCUCAGAAGCAGCCACCCUUCAAAGAGUGCGUAACAGCUCACUAGUCGAGUGACCCUGCGCCGAAAAUGUACCGGGGCUAAGCAUACUACCGAAGCUGCGGAUUUGUAGAGAUACAAGUGGUAGGGGAGCGUUGCAUGCACGUGGAAGCCAUAUCGUGAGGAGUGGUGGAGAGCAUGGAAGUGAGAAUGCCGGUGUGAGUAGCGAGAUGUAGGUGAGAAUCCUACACACCGAUAGCCCAAGGAUUCCAGGGGAAGGUUCGUCCGCCCUGGGUAAGUCGGGACCUAACGCGAGGCCGAAAGGCGUAGUGGAUGGAAAACAGGCAGAUAUUCCUGUACCCGCGAUGGGAAGUGAAGGAAUGACGGAGAAGGCUAGCAUGACCCACUGAAUGGAUUGUGGGCGAAGCGGAGCAGCAGGUAUGUAGUGAAAUGCGCAUACGAAAUGCAGGACGUGAUAGGUAAGUGAACGUUUCGACAAGUAACGAAGCAUGUGAGGCCAGCUUCCAAGAAAAGUUUCUAAGCGAUUAAUCCCAUAGCGGCCCGUACCAAAACCGACACAGGUGGGCAAGGAGAGGAUCCUGAGGUGAGCGAGAGAACUGUUGCCAAGGAACUCGGCAAAAUGACUCCGUAAGUUAGCGAUAAGGAGUGCUUAUGUAAAAGUAAGCCGCAGUGAAGAGGCCCAAGCGACUGUUUAACUAAAACACAGCUCUCUGCGAAGUCGCAAGACGAAGUAUAGGGGGUGACGCCUGCCCGGUGCUGGAAGGUUAAGAGGAUUUGUCAGUCGCAAGAUGAAGCAAUGAAUUGAAGCCCCAGUGAACGGCGGCCGUAACUAUAACGGUCCUAAGGUAGCGAAAUUCCUUGUCAGGUAAGUUCUGACCCGCACGAAAGGCGUAACGAUUUGGGCGCUGUCUCGGCAGCAGACUCGGUGAAAUCUUAGUACCUGUGAAAAUGCAGGUUACCCGCAACUAGACGGAAAGACCCCAUGGAGCUUUACUGUAGCUUGAUAUUGAGCUUUGAUCAGAGAUGUACAGGAUAGGUGGGAGACGAAGAGACGUGCACGCCAGUGUACGAGGAGUCGACGUUGGGAUACCACUCUUGUCUGAUUGAAGUUCUAACCUACACCCAUGAACUGGGUGAGGGACCGUGUCAGGCAGGCAGUUUGACUGGGGCGGUCGCCUCCUAAAGAGUAACGGAGGCGCCCAAAGGUACGCUCAGAUUGGAUGGAAAUCAAUCGACGAGUGCAAAUGCAGAAGCGUGCUUGACUGUGAGACAAACAAGUCGAACAGGGACGAAAGUCGGGAUUAGUGAUCCGGCGGUGCCGAAUGGAAGGGCCGUCGCUCAACGGAUAAAAGCUACCCUGGGGAUAACAGGCUGAUCUCCCCCA